RNAcentral lists this long non-coding RNA (284 nucleotides) under Lathyrus oleraceus (garden pea). Its description in RNAcentral is "Pisum sativum (pea) long non-coding RNA (PSAT_LNC025792)". The record is from RNAcentral. Lineage: Eukaryota; Viridiplantae; Streptophyta; Magnoliopsida; Fabales; Fabaceae.
AAAUAUUUCAUUCACUUCAACAACUCUAUAGUAACUAUUUUCAUUCAUAUUUUCCUUCUCCCUUCUCUUUUUAUUUCUUUUCUUUUAAUAAGGAGUAUGUAUUGACAUGUAUACAUCUUUCUAAUUUUUUUCCAUUCAUUUUUUUCUUUUCUAUUUUUCUUUUCUUUUUCUACCAACUUCUGAAAUAUUACAAACAUAAUUAUUCAACCUCACAUAACUCCAAACAAGACUCUUUCAAUCCUUUGAAUAGGAUGCUACCAUUGUUUUUCACUUCUCGAUUUAUA